This 301-nucleotide unclassified non-coding RNA is filed under the name plant metagenome. RNAcentral describes it as "partial contains small subunit ribosomal RNA, internal transcribed spacer 1, and 5.8S ribosomal RNA". The record is from RNAcentral.
UUUCCGUAGGUGAACCUGCGGAAGGAUCAUUAUUGAAACUUGAAUCGUAGCAUUGAGAACUGUUGCUGACCUGUUAAAGGGUAUGUGCACGUUCGACGUGUUGCGUUCUAUUCAUCCACCUGUGCACCUUUGUAGACUUGAUUAACUUUCACUUUCGAGCGGUUAGAAGGGCUGCUUUCGAGCUCCCUUUGUCUAUCAAGUCUAUGUCUAUAUAAUCUCUUGUAUGUCUAGAAUGUCUUGUUUAUGGGACGCAAGUCCUUUAAAUCUUAUACAACUUUCAACAACGGAUCUCUUGGCUCUC